RNAcentral lists this ribosomal RNA (1345 nucleotides) under uncultured bacterium. RNAcentral describes it as "bacterial SSU rRNA". It matches the Rfam family "Bacterial small subunit ribosomal RNA", at positions 28 to 1381 of the family's 1533-position model. The record is from RNAcentral.
GAUGAACGCUUGCGGGAGGCCUAACACAUGCAAGCCGAGCGGUAUUGUUUCUUCGGAAAUGAGAGAGCGGCGUACGGGUGCGGAACACGUGUGCAACCUGCCUUUAUCUGGGGGAUAGCCUUUCGAAAGGAAGAUUAAUACUCCAUAAUAUAUUGAACGGCAUCGUUUAAUAUUGAAAGCUCCGGCGGAUAGAGAUGGGCACGCGCAAGAUUAGCUAGUUGGUGAGGUAACGGCUCACCAAGGCGAUGAUCUUUAGGGGGCCUGAGAGGGUGAUCCCCCACACUGGUACUGAGACACGGACCAGACUCCUACGGGAGGCAGCAGUGAGGAAUAUUGGUCAAUGGGUGCAAGCCUGAACCAGCCAUCCCGCGUGAAGGACGACUGCCCUAUGGGUUGUAAACUUCUUUUGUAUAGGGAUAAACCUACCCUCGUGAGGGUAGCUGAAGGUACUAUACGAAUAAGCACCGGCUAACUCCGUGCCAGCAGCCGCGGUAAUACGGAGGGUGCAAGCGUUAUCCGGAUUUAUUGGGUUUAAAGGGUCCGUAGGCGGACUUAUAAGUCAGUGGUGAAAGCCUGUCGCUUAACGAUAGAACUGCCAUUGAUACUGUAAGUCUUGAGUAUAUUUGAGGUAGCUGGAAUAAGUAGUGUAGCGGUGAAAUGCAUAGAUAUUACUUAGAACACCAAUUGCGAAGGCAGGUUACCAAGAUAUAACUGACGCUGAGGGACGAAAGCGUGGGGAGCGAACAGGAUUAGAUACCCUGGUAGUCCACGCCGUAAACGAUGCUAACUCGUUUUUGGGCUUUAGGGUUCAGAGACCAAGCGAAAGUGAUAAGUUAGCCACCUGGGGAGUACGCUCGCAAGAGUGAGACUCAAAGGAAUUGACGGGGGCCCGCACAAGCGGUGGAUUAUGUGGUUUAAUUCGAUGAUACGCGAGGAACCUUACCAAGACUUAAAUGGGAAUUGACAGCUUUAGAAAUAGAGCUUUCUUCGGACAAUUUUCAAGGUGCUGCAUGGUUGUCGUCAGCUCGUGCCGUGAGGUGUUAGGUUAAGUCCUGCAACGAGCGCAACCCCUGUCACUAGUUGCCAUCAUUCAGUUGGGGACUCUAGUGAGACUGCCUACGCAAGUAGAGAGGAAGGUGGGGAUGACGUCAAAUCAUCACGGCCCUUACGUCUUGGGCCACACACGUAAUACAAUGGCCGGUACAGAGGGCAGCUACACAGCGAUGUGAUGCAAAUCUCGAAAGCCGGUCUCAGUUCGGAUUGGAGUCUGCAACUCGACUCUAUGAAGCUGGAAUCGCUAGUAAUCGCGCAUCAGCCAUGGCGCGGUGAAUACGUUCCCGGGCCU